This 362-nucleotide transfer-messenger RNA is filed under the name Acutalibacteraceae. RNAcentral's name for it is "UMGS1491 sp905211185 Standard tmRNA". It matches the Rfam family "transfer-messenger RNA". From Rfam's summary of the family: Bacterial tmRNA, also known as 10Sa RNA or SsrA, is named for its dual tRNA and mRNA-like properties. Its role is to liberate the mRNA from a stalled ribosome. Lineage: Bacteria; Bacillati; Bacillota; Clostridia; Eubacteriales. The record is from RNAcentral. RNAcentral also lists the same sequence under 1 other name.
GGGGGCGUAAAGGAUUCGACGGGGAACAGGAGUUUGUGUAAGCGAGUAGCAAGGUGGAACUGCUUUAAAAGUCACAAUUUUUCAAUUAAACGGAAAAGAAUCAGAAACAGCUUUCGCAGCUGCUGCUUAAUUAAAUAGGCAGACAUUUUACUUUAGAUAACCGCGACUACUGUAAAAUGACGAACUAGCGGUGAACGUGAACCAAAGAUUUUCUCGGCUUUGGUCACGCAUUAUGGGAAUACCAAAAUCAAAAGUUUUCCGACGAGCUCGUGAUUUUGGGAAUUUUUAAUCAUCGGAUACACUCGUAGAAAGCGCAGAUAAAUGUUUUUCGGACAGGGGUUCAAUUCCCCUCGCCUCCACCA